UACGGAGGUGGCAAGCGUUGCUCGGAAUCACUGGGCAUAAAGGGCGCGUAGGCGGUUCGACAAGUCAGGUGUGAAAUACCCCGGCUCAACCGAGGAAUGGCGCUUGAUACUAUCGAGCUGGAGUGCAGUAGGGGAGAGUGGAAUUCCCGGUGUAGCGGUGAAAUGCGUAGAUAUCGGGAAGAACGCCGGUGGCGAAAGCGGCUCUCUGGACUGUAACUGACGCUGAGGCGCGAAAGCUAGGGGAGCAAACAGG
Molecule: ribosomal RNA, 253 nt
Filed under: uncultured bacterium
Lineage: Bacteria
Description: partial 16S ribosomal RNA
Rfam family: Bacterial small subunit ribosomal RNA
Source: RNAcentral